GCCCCCUUCGUCUAGCGGCCCAGGACGCUGGGUUUAUUCGGCCCGGAAACGCUCGUUCGAAUCGGGCAGGGGGUA
Molecule: transfer RNA, 75 nt
Filed under: Crateriforma conspicua
Lineage: Bacteria; Pseudomonadati; Planctomycetota; Planctomycetia; Pirellulales; Pirellulaceae
Also listed under: 1 other name
Description: tRNA-Asn
Source: RNAcentral